Non-coding RNA from Oryza sativa Japonica Group (Japanese rice), 945 nucleotides. NCBI's taxonomy places the organism in Eukaryota, Viridiplantae, Streptophyta, Magnoliopsida, Poales, Poaceae. The record is from RefSeq and is a predicted model, not a curated record.
GUGGAUAAUAAAGUAAGUCACAAAUAAAAUAAAUAAUAAUUUCAAAAAAUUUUGAAUAAGACGAGUGGUCAAACGUUGCAAGCAAAAACUCAAAAUCUAUUAUAUUAUGGGACGGAGGGAGUAUUCAAUAAUACUUUCUCAUUAUUAUACUUCUGUGCCAUAUAAAUGAUAGAUAUAGUAAAGUAAUUGUUGGUCAAAGCCUUGUUCUAACAAAAACAAAUAUGCCUUGUAUUUUGAAAUAGGGGGAGUAUUCUACAAGAACAUGAGAUGGUGAUUCUUCCUGUUUGCCGUCGAAACCGUCGUUACUCGACACCUCGAAAUGCCUCGACGAAACUGCGCUGUCCACCAAACGUCAGCCCCUCAAAAUGACAGCUGUGGUAAGUUGAAUGCAUGUUGAUGGGAGGAUCAUUGUGGGGGCAACCUGUGGGAGGCAGCAAAGAUAUUCAGAUGAUGGCAGGCAGACUUUGGAGGGAGGAUUGCCAUGACCCAAUGGAAUAUCCAUGAAUCAGUGAUUCGGCAUGUCUCGGCCGUCGGUUGAAUCUAGGUGCUGACUGGUUUUGAGCCUUGAGAUCCCUGUGGAACUAUGGAUUCACUUCAUGGAUGGAUGAGUGUGGAUUCACUUCAUGGAUGGAUGAGGCAUGAGGAGCUGUAGAAGCAUCAAAAUUUUACCCACUUUUGACGACAAAAUCGCUAGUUAGUGGAAAUGUGAGUUUUCUUUGAUCCUUCUUGAAGCACUCCUCUUUUGUCAAAUCGAUGAACGCUGACAACAUUGCAAUGAAGGGAUUUAUGCUCAUACCCAUACUACAGGUUCAGAGUUGUUUUGUUAAUGAAUUAUUACUUGUCUAUAUAGUUCUCUGUGAAUUGACCAGUUGAUGACAAUUUGAGUUUCUGUACUCGAUUCCAAAUUCAAUGAAUAAUUCUUUCUAGGGGGAGGGUUGAUUACAA